AAUCCGUAAACAUUUUGAGAUUGUUGAACUUGAAGGUAAGUUUUUUAGUUUUUGAAUGCUUUUUUAGUACGUGAUUUUAAUAUGAUUUGCCCCCGGACGUUUUUCAGUUCCUUUUUUAAACAUGUUAUAAAUAAUGGUAGACGGCCAUUAAAAAAUCUUCAAAUUUGAUAAAAAUGUAGAAGCGUUAGAAAUCCAAGGGAAGGUGACAGUGCUGACGCUAGUGCCAUUUAUACUGCUGUCAAUACCAAGCGUCAGAGAAGUGCUGUUCGGGAUUAUUUCCAAAAGUUUGCAGACUCUGCAAAAACAACGGGAACAUCGAAGUGCAGUAUCUGUAAUGAGAACAUGGCAGCAACAGUUCAAUUUAUUCAAGCAUUUGAAGAUGAAACAUCAAGAGCAAUACAAAGAAGCUGAAAGGAAAAGAAAAUUAUUUGAAGAAAA
Xenia sp. Carnegie-2017 is the source of this 438-nucleotide long non-coding RNA. RefSeq lists it as uncharacterized. The transcript has 2 exons. NCBI's taxonomy places the organism in Eukaryota, Metazoa, Cnidaria, Anthozoa, Malacalcyonacea, Xeniidae. The record is from RefSeq and is a predicted model, not a curated record.